UGGCAAGAUUACGGCGAAGCUGA
RNAcentral lists this microRNA (23 nucleotides) under Schistosoma japonicum. RNAcentral's name for it is "sja-miR-31-5p". Its record names the gene sja-miR-31-5p. The record is from miRBase by way of RNAcentral. Lineage: Eukaryota; Metazoa; Platyhelminthes; Trematoda; Strigeidida; Schistosomatidae.